Molecule: ribosomal RNA, 481 nt
Filed under: uncultured bacterium
Lineage: Bacteria
Description: partial 16S ribosomal RNA
Rfam family: Bacterial small subunit ribosomal RNA
Source: RNAcentral
GAUGAACGCUGGCGGCGUGCUUAACACAUGCAAGUCGAACGAAACACCUUAUUUGAUUUUCUUCGGAACUGAAGAUUUGGUGAUUGAGUGGCGGACGGGUGAGUAACGCGUGGGUAACCUGCCCUGUACAGGGGGAUAACAGUCAGAAAUGACUGCUAAUACCGCAUAAGACCACAGCACCGCAUGGUGCAGGGGUAAAAACUCCGGUGGUACAGGAUGGACCCGCGUCUGAUUAGCUGGUUGGUGAGGUAACGGCUCACCAAGGCGACGAUCAGUAGCCGGCUUGAGAGAGUGAACGGCCACAUUGGGGCUGAGACACGGCCCAAACUCCUACGGGAGGCAGCAGUGGGGAAUAUUGCACAAUGGGGGAAACCCUGAUGCAGCGACGCCGCGUGAGUGAAGAAGUAUUUCGGUAUGUAAAGCUCUAUCAGCAGGGAAGAAAAUGACGGUACCUGACGAAGAAGCCCCGGCUAACUACGUG